Molecule: transfer RNA, 85 nt
Filed under: Gammaproteobacteria bacterium
Lineage: Bacteria; Pseudomonadati; Pseudomonadota; Gammaproteobacteria
Description: tRNA-Leu
Rfam family: tRNA
About the family: Transfer RNA (tRNA) molecules are approximately 80 nucleotides in length. Their secondary structure includes four short double-helical elements and three loops (D, anti-codon, and T loops).
Source: RNAcentral
GCCGACGUGGUGGAAUUGGUAGACACGCUAUCUUGAGGGGGUAGUGGCGUAAGCCAUCCCGGUUCGAGUCCGGGCGUCGGCACCA